CCUACGGGAGUCAGCAGUAGGGAAUAUUGCUCAAUGGGGGAAACCCUGAAGCAGCAACGCCGCGUGAGUGAAGAAGUAUUUCGGUACGUAAAGCUCUAUCAGCAGGGAAGAAAAUGACGGUACCUGACUAAGAAGCCCCGGCUAACUACGUGCCAGCAGCCGCGGUAAUACGUGGGGGGCAAGCGUUAUCCGGAUUUACUGGGUGUAAAGGGAGCGUAGACGGCAGCGCAAGUCUGGAGUGAAAUCCCAUGGCUUAACCAUGGAACUGCUUUGGAAACUGUGCAGCUAGAGUGCAGGAGAGGUAAGCGGAAUUCCUAGUGUAGCGGUGAAAUGCGUAGAUAUUAGGAGGAACACCAGUGGCGAAGGCGGCUUACUGGACUGUAACUGACGUUGAGGCUCGAAAGCGUGGGGAGCAAACAGGAUUAGAUACCCCUGUAGUC
RNAcentral lists this ribosomal RNA (440 nucleotides) under uncultured bacterium. Its description in RNAcentral is "partial 16S ribosomal RNA". It matches the Rfam family "Bacterial small subunit ribosomal RNA", at positions 338 to 795 of the family's 1533-position model. The record is from RNAcentral.